AACGCGAAGAACCUUACCUACUUUUGAAUCCACAGAAUCUAGCAGAGAUGUUGGAGUGCCUUCGGGAACUGUGAGACAGGUGCUGCAUGGCUGUCGUCAGCUCGUGUCGUGAGAUGUUGGGUUAAGUCCCGUAACGAGCGCAACCCUUAUCCUUAGUUACCAGCGAGUAAAGUCGGGGACUUUAAGGAGACUGCCGGUGAUAAACCGGAGGAAGGUGGGGAUGACGUCAAGUCCUCAUGGCCCUUACAAGUAGGGCUACACACGUGCUACAAUGGUCGGUACAAAGGGUAGCCAACCCGCGAGGGGGAGCUAAUCUCAAAAAGCCGAUCAUAGUCCGGAUUGGAGUCUGCAACUCGACUCCAUGAAGCUGGAAUCGCUAGUAAUCGCGGAUCAGAAUGCCGCGGUGAAUACGUUCCCGGGCCUUGUA
RNAcentral lists this ribosomal RNA (427 nucleotides) under uncultured Gammaproteobacteria bacterium. Its description in RNAcentral is "bacterial SSU rRNA". It matches the Rfam family "Bacterial small subunit ribosomal RNA", at positions 958 to 1385 of the family's 1533-position model. The record is from RNAcentral. Lineage: Bacteria; Pseudomonadati; Pseudomonadota; Gammaproteobacteria.